This is a long non-coding RNA of Homo sapiens (human), 4950 nucleotides long. RefSeq annotates it as TPPP antisense RNA 1. NCBI's taxonomy places the organism in Eukaryota, Metazoa, Chordata, Mammalia, Primates, Hominidae. The record is from RefSeq and is a predicted model, not a curated record. The transcript is spliced from 2 exons.
CUUACAAGGCCGACUCUGCUCAGGCCCCGCGGACCGCCGGGUAUCCGCUCAGCGCAGGGCGCGGCCGACCCGCGGGUCGUGGGAACCGCUGGGCAGGGGGCGGCGGGGCCCCUCACCUGGCUCUGGGGCCCCCCGGGGACGACCGGACCCCGAUCUCUCCGCCCCGCAGGACGCGCGUUGACGGUCGCCCGUAUGCAGCGCCACCAUCCCGGCCGCUCUUCCAAUCUCGCCUUUCUCCGGGCACCUGCCGCCCCUCCCCCGCUCCCCAGACAGGCUUUGCGGAGGGGGCUCAUUCCGCCCGGGGCUGCCCGGCCCUCCGCAGGAGUUGGCUCCCCACAAGGUUCCGGGGCCGAGAUGACAGGGCGGUUCUGUGGUGCUGGGUGCUGGGACUUGAGGGGCAUAGGGGCACCUGCCCUGGAGGAGGCCGAGGCGCAGCCCCCCAGGAGGAAGGGGUGCCUCUGGUGACUUUCAGCUGGACUCUUCCAGCUGGACUCUAGUGCAGCUGAGCUCCUCCCCCAGCCCCGGCUCUGUCCCUGCACCAGGUGUCCAGCAGGCCCUGGAAUCCGCAAAGGCAGAAGGGGAAGUUGGGGUGCUGGGUGCUGGGCAGGGGGUGCUGAGGCCUCACAGCCCGGCGGCUUGGCCCCCACCCACCCCACGGUGGUCCCGCGCCCCACACUUCCUCUCCUCUCCUGUGGUUUCUCCUUCCACUCAGUGCUGCCCAGAGAUGGGCUUCUGUCUAGUUCUCCUGAGAAAUUCCACACUCGCAGCUGGGAAGUCGGGGGACCCCCGAAGCUGUGCGGCGGCCACGCUGCGGCUCCUGCUUCCCUCCUGCUCGGGUGCGGGCUCGGCUGCCUUCUCGUCCCGCGGAGCCCGGAGUGCCUCCCCCUCGGGUAGAUCCUACUAACAGCAUCAAAGAAAUAAUGAAAUAAUCUCUCCUUGGUGUGUUCUUACCGUCCUAAUAGGCACAAGGGGACUCUUCAGUGCAUUUUCCAAAACCUGUACAAACUCUCUUGACAUAAAUGCAGUGAGUUUACAAUAAAAUCGCAGUGGGAGGUAACGUCAGGCUUCAGAGGCAGACAUGGUCCUGGAGCCUUUGGGAGGAGAGGAGAGGAGAGGCAGCGGGCGCGGGGCGGCGUCCAGGGGGCUGAGCGAGGUCUGGGCAGGAGGACAGAGCUGAGCCUUGGGCUGCCCUGGCCCCUGCGCAGGACACACAGUGACCGGGGCUGGGGUGGGCACCCCGGUUCUACCGUCGGGAGUCGGCGUGUUCAUGGAGUCUGUUUCCUUGUCUGUGGGUGAAACUUUGGCUUGGGGUCACGGGUGUGUUAUUUCCCAGCGACAGUCGGUUCAGUCAGCACUUACAAAAUCACCAGAAACAGGGGCACAGGAUCUUGCUCAGCAGGGAGAGGUGGAUCCUGAUUCGGGACUCCAGGCUCUUCACCUGGCCAUGGCUGCCCGUCCGGUGGCCCUUCCUGGCCCCCAGCUCUUGCUCCACUGCCAGACCUGGACAGCCUCCAUUAACCCUGCAAUUACUGAAAACCGACUCACAGCCAAUGAUGUGAUCCACGCCAAGUGUCCCGUUAUAAGAUGUUUCCUGGGGAUCCUUAGAAAAUCACUACAAAUGGGUUGAACAACAGGGCUUUCCUCUUACGGCUUAGGAGGCCAGAAGUCCGAGAUCAAGGCCUGUGCGCUCCGGAGGUUCCCACCUCUUCCAGCUUCUGUGGCUCCAGGCGGUCCUGGGUGGUGGCCGCAUGGCUCCACCUCUGCCCCUGUCCUCACGGGGCCUCCUCCCCCGAGUUAGUGUGUCUGUCUCUUCCUUUGCUUAUCGGGACACCUGUCACUGGAUUUAAGGGCCGCCAGGAGAAGCUGGGAUAAUCUCAAGAUCUUUAAUCGAAUUACAUCUACAAAGAUCCUAUUUUAACGUAAGGUCUUACUCUGAGGUUCCGGGUCAAUGUGACUUUCUUGGGUGGGGGUCACUACCACCCCAGCACCAAUGCUUUUCCCAGCUCCACCUGUGUUACCGUGUCAGUGACCAGGAGCGUUCCCCGGGACACCUGCCUGCUUGUAGCUGUUUCCACGGCUUCCUGCACAGGUUCUGCGUCCGCAGUUGGGAGCACCAGGCCAGGCAGCUGUCACAUAGGAGGAGGACAGCUCUCCGGGACAAGCCCCUGCUGCCUGGCACCCGCGCCCACCCCUGCCUGGGUUUGGGGUUGGGUUUUGUGGGUAGAGGUUCAGGCUGACAGUGGAGGUUGGGAAGAGCAGACACAGCAUGGUGGGUAGCACUGGAAGCCCUGGGUGGAAGGGAUGGUGGGAGAUGCUGGGCCAUCUGGGUCUGCAGUGGGAGACCAGGACAGGAGCCCAGGUCCAUUGGGAGGCCCCAUGCUGAAGACAGAGGCACGGGGAGCGGGGGGAGCAAUGGACUCACGCGGACAGCAGCAGACAUGAAAAGGCCUCCGAGGCCAAGUGUGAGGAUGCCGGGUCCCAGCACUGAGGUGUCCUGCAGCUGGACCUGUCAGGUGUCCACCCACCCCUGGCAGCUGAAUGUCCUUUGACGGCCUAUAGGCUGAGCAGCUUCUUUGGGCCCCGUAGGGGUGUGUCCCACAGCAGGUGAGCAGUCAGGGCCCCUUGAGAACCCUAACCAGCUCCUGUGUGGGCCCUGGGCUGGGGACAAGCUACAGCCUAGGUGCAUGAGGUCAGAGGGGGUGGUCAGUGAAGUAACGACGUGCCUGCCUGGGUGUGGGGCCUGGGAAGCCUCAUGGGGGUGUUGAAGCAGCUCCCAUGGGUCCUUGGCAGCUUAGGGAAAAUGUCUGCCGGGAUGUGUGUGUGCACCUGUGUGUGAGAGUGUGAGAGUGUGCACAUGCAUGCGUGUGUUUGUGCAUUCCUAUGUGUGAAUGUGCACCUGUAUGUGUGAGUAUGCAUGCCGGUGUAUGUAUGUUGGUAUGUGUUCAGCUGUGUAUGUUCAGCUGUGUGUGUGUCUAUUUGUGUGUCUCUGUGUGUAUGAGUGUGUCUGCGUGUGCCUGUGUCUCUGUGUGUGCAUGUGUGUUUGCACCUGUAUGUCCACGUGCCUGUGUCUGUGUGUUUGCAUGUGUGUGCAUGUGUCUGUGUGCCUGCGUGUGCCUGUGUGUGCAUGGGCCUGUGUGUCUUUGUGUGCAUGUGUGUGUGUUUGCACCUGUGUGUGUGCACGUGCCUGUGUGUGUUUGGGCUGUGAUUGCAUCUGGUUAUUCUGGGGGUGGAAUUGCUGUGGAACAUGGAAUUAAAGUGCAGGUUCCGGGUCUUGCUGCCAGGGAGCGACUCUGGCCCCCCUAUCACACACCUGUGACCCAGAGAACGGCAGGUGAGCCUUGCGGCUUCACUGUUGCCACAGGUCAGGGGCUGAUGAGGAGGGGAAGCCAAAUGGGGGGUGUUCAGCCCUAGGCUGAGCUGCUUGGAGCACAUUCUUAAUACGCCAGCCAUCGCUACCUCAGUUCCACAGCCGAUGUUAGGGAAGAAAGAUGCGGGGACACGGCAACAGGACAGCGUGCUGGGAAGAAAAGAUGUGGACAGGAGCCCAUGCCUGGCAGAGACACGGAGGACCAGAGAGAGGAUGGCGUUGCAGAGCGGAGGGCCGCAGAGAAGGGAGGAACUUGUGUCUGCAGUGGAGAGGACACACCCCUCUGGCAAGGGCAGCCCUGGGUGUGGCUUUCAGAGGCAGUGGGCAAUGAGCUCUGUAAAGCCGAGAUGGCUCCAAGCAGACCACAAGGAGCCUGGUCAGCUUCUGUCCCUGUAACUGUUUUCCCCACUGCCAGAAGUGGCUUCACUUGUUGUGUGGAUGCCCUGCACUCAGCCCAGGACUAGAUGGAUUCACAGCCAGAUUCUACCAAACAUAUGAAGAACUAAUACCAAUCCUUCUGAAACUAUUCCAAGAAAUCGAAGAGGGGGGAUAUCUCUCUAACUCAUUCUAUGAGGCCAGUAUCACCCUCGGACCAAAACCAGACAAAGGCGCAACAAAAAAAGAAAACUCCAGAUCAAUAUCCCUGUGAAUAUAGAUGCAAAAAUCCUCAACGAAAUACCAGAAAAUAGAACCCAACAGCACAUCAAAAGGAUAAUACACCCUGAUCAGGUGGGAUUUAUCCCAGGGACGCAAAUCAAUAAAUGUGACGUAUCACAUGAACAGAAUUAAGGAUAAAAACCAUAUGAUCAUUAAAUAGAUGCAGAAAAAGCAUUUGAUUAAAUUCAGCCUCUCUUCAUGAUAAAAAUUCUCAACAAAUGAGGCAUAGAAGGAACAUGCAUCAACAUAAUAAAAGCCUCAUAUGACAGAUCCACAGCCAACAUCAGAAUUAAGGGGGAAAAGUUGAAAGUAUUCCUUCUAAGAACUGGUAUAAGACAUGGAUGCCCACUUUCACCACUCUUAUUCAACACAGUACUGAAAGUCCUGGCCAGAGCAAUCAGGCAAGAGAAAGAAAUAAAGGGAAUGCACAUUGGAGAAGAAGGAGCCCAAACUAUCCCUUUCUGUUGGUGAAAUUAUAUUCUACAUAGAAAACCCUGAAGACUUGUAUCACUGCUGGUAAAGACAUGCCUGAGACUGGGUAAUUUAUAAACAAAAUGAGGUUUCAUGGACUUACAGUUCCACACGGCUGGGGAGGCCUCCCAGUCAUGGUGGACGGCAAAAGGCAGAUCAUACACGGCAGCAGGCAAGAGAGAGGGUGAAAGCCAAGUGAAAGGGGUUUCCCCUUAUAAAACCAUCAGGUCUCAUGAGACUUAUUCACUCCCAUGAGAACAGGAUGGUGAAAACUGCCCCCAUGAUUCAAUUGUCUCCUAGCUGGUCCCUCCCACAACACACGGGAAUUAUGGGAGCUACAAUUCAAGAUGAGAUUUGGGUGCGGACACAGCCAAACCGUAUUACGACUCCACCAAAAAACUCUUAGAUUUGAUAAAUAAAUUCAGUAGCAUUUAAGGACACAAAAUUAAUGUACA